GCAGCGGAUCGGGCCUUCCACCUUCCUCUCCCAUAGAAACCCUAAUAUGCACCGGUGAACGACUACAUUCUCCCCUCUCCGAUGGCAAGCCCGUAAUUAUUUGUCGAGGCAGUGGCGUUAUUCACCCCCGUCUAUAUCGUGUGUACGUCAAACGAACACCGCGCGCUCUCUCUCUCUCUCUCUCUCUCUCUCCAACCCCACACCAAACCCUGACUCCCCUUCCCGACGAAACCCUAACCCUAGACUUCUCGUAACCCUAAAUUUCAUCCGCUGAUAUGGCCUGCGAGAGCUGAUCCCCUCUCUCACCAUCGGCCGCCCGAGCUUCCGGCAGCGAAGCGAUGUCGCUGGACGGCGCAGUCGAGAGGAGGGAGGGGUCGCCGGCGGGCAACGGGAACGGGAAUGGGAACGGGCCGGUGAUGGCGCCUCCGGCGAGGCCGACGUACGGGGACCGGCGGCUGAGGCUGAAUCCGAACACGGAGCACAAGCCGGAGCGAUACGAGGACGUGCAGUCAGAGUUUGACCCCGCCAUCUUCAGCUCCCUGGAGCGGCACCUACCGCCGAGCAUGCUCGAGGUGCCGCGCGACGCCAAGGUGCAGUUCAUGAAGGAGAUCCUCGCUCGGUACUUGCCCGAGGGGGAACGAAACAGGGUUCAGAGGCAUAAAGAAUACAGGCACAAACUAAUGUUGGCUUAUCAGCCUUUACAUAAGGAACUCUACAAUCUGCAUCCAUCAGCUUUCUUUGUGCCAUCAUUUCUUAAAGCGGUCAAUGACAACCCAGAGGAGAGCUUUAGAAAUAUAUUAUCUGAACCCUCACCUGGAAUUUAUACAUUUGCUAUGCUUCAGCCAAGUUUCUGUGAGCUGCUAUUAGAUGAGGUAGAAAAUUUUGAAAAGUGGGUUAAUGCAGUUAAGUUUAAAAUAAUGAGACCAAAUACAAUGAAUAAGUAUGGUGCUGUGCUUGAUGAUUUUGGCCUGGAAACCAUGCUUAAUAAGCUUAUGGAAGAAUUCAUAUCACCUAUAGCUAGAGUAUUUUUCCCUGAGGUUGGUGGAUCUACUCUGGAUUCACAUCACGGUUUUGUCGUUGAAUAUGGGAAGGACAAGGAUGUUGAAUUAGGUUUCCAUGUGGAUGAUUCAGAAGUUACUUUAAAUGUGUGUUUGGGGAAAGAUUUUUCUGGGGGUGAAUUGUUCUUUCGGGGUGUUCGAUGUGAUAAACAUGUGAACACGGAGACACAACCAGAGGAAAUUUUAGAUUAUUCUCAUGUCCCUGGUCAAGCUGUACUUCAUCGUGGCCGUCAUCGGCAUGGUGCUCGCCCCACAACUUCUGGACACAGGAUCAAUAUGCUUUUGUGGUGUAGAAGUUCAGUCUUUAGAGAGAUGAAGAAAUAUCAAAAGGAUUUCUCUAGCUGGUGCGGUGAGUGUCAGCGCGAGAAGAAAGAACGGCAGCGUCAGUCGCUUGCUGCCACCAAGAUGGCAUUUCUUAAGGGCUGUGGAGGAUCAAAUAUAUAAGGUGCUUUUGUUUGUAUCCAAAAUUGGGUGGUUGUAAAGUAGCGUGCUUGUCACCCAGAUUGACCUUUGAUUUGUCUAAGGAAUCUGACCAUACCGGUAGCUUCAGCUUUGUUUGUUGAAUUGGACCAGCCUUCUUUAAGUUAUAGCGGUCGGUAGGUAGCAUUUUUUGGAAAAUAAUCCAUUUUGUGCCACAAAAACAGUGUUGGAAAUUUCUAUGGUCUCACUGAUCGGUUGGACUAUGUUCCUAUUGUAACUGUUAUUAGUGGCUCAUACAUUGUGGGAAGGAAUUCCAGGUAUAAUGCCUGAGAAAUUCCAUCAAAAGAUUUCUGUGAAUUGGAGAAAUGCUAGCAAGAAUUAGUGGGUAAAUUUUUGUAGUCCUUUGAACAUGCCACCUCUGCAUUUUUAAUGCCUUGCUCAGCAAAUUUCAUUUA
Molecule: RNA transcript, 1933 nt
Organism: Musa acuminata AAA Group (dessert banana)
Lineage: Eukaryota; Viridiplantae; Streptophyta; Magnoliopsida; Zingiberales; Musaceae
Gene name: 2-oxoglutarate and iron-dependent oxygenase domain-containing protein CP2-like
Exons: 10
Source: RefSeq, a predicted model, not a curated record